GCACAAGCGGUGGAUGAUGUGGUUUAAUUCGAUGCAACGCGAAAACCUUACCCACCUUUGACGUGGCAGGAAUCCUAAAGAGAUUUGGGAGUGCUCGAAAGAGAACCUGCACACAGGUGCUGCAUGGCUGUCGUCAGCUCGUGUCGUGAGAUGUUCGGUUAAGUCCGCUAACGAGCGCAACCCUCACUGUGUGUUAUAUGUGUCACACGGGACUGCCGGUUUUAAGCCGGAGGAAGGUGGGGAUGACGUCAAGUCAGCAUGGCCUUUAUAUCCUGGGCUACACACACGCUGCAAUGGUCGGUACAAUAGGUUGCCAAGCCGCGAGGCGGAGCCAAUCCAAAAAGGCCGGCCUCAGUUCAGAUUGUAGGCUGCAACUCGCCUGCAUGAAGAUGGAGUUGCUAGUAACCGCAGGUCAGCAAUACUGCGGUGAAUACGUUCCCGGGCCUU
Molecule: ribosomal RNA, 447 nt
Filed under: uncultured Anaerolineaceae bacterium
Lineage: Bacteria; Bacillati; Chloroflexota; Anaerolineae; Anaerolineales; Anaerolineaceae
Description: bacterial SSU rRNA
Rfam family: Bacterial small subunit ribosomal RNA
Source: RNAcentral